GAAUUCGAUUCAGGCCUAACACAUGCAAGUCGAACGCCCAGCAAUGGGAGUGGCAGACGGGUGAGGAACACGUGGGAACGUGCCUUUUGGUUCGGAAUAACUCAGGGAAACUUGUGCUAAUACCGGAUAAGCCCUUCGGGGGAAAGAUUUAUCGCCAAAAGAUCGGCCCGCGUCUGAUUAGCUAGUUGGUGAGGUAACGGCUCACCAAGGCGACGAUCAGUAGCUGGUCUGAGAGGAUGAUCAGCCACACUGGGACUGAGACACGGCCCAGACUCCUACGGGAGGCAGCAGUGGGGAAUAUUGGACAGAUGGGGGCAACCCUGAUCCAGCCAUGCCGCGUGAGUGAAGAAGGUCUUCGGAUUGUAAAGCUCUUUUGGCGGGGACGAUAAUG
This 391-nucleotide ribosomal RNA is filed under the name uncultured bacterium. RNAcentral's name for it is "bacterial SSU rRNA". It matches the Rfam family "Bacterial small subunit ribosomal RNA", at positions 39 to 453 of the family's 1533-position model. The record is from RNAcentral.